RNAcentral lists this transfer RNA (72 nucleotides) under Anaerolineae bacterium. RNAcentral describes it as "tRNA-Ile". It matches the Rfam family "tRNA". From Rfam's summary of the family: Transfer RNA (tRNA) molecules are approximately 80 nucleotides in length. Lineage: Bacteria; Bacillati; Chloroflexota; Anaerolineae. The record is from RNAcentral.
GGGCCCAUAGCUCAGCGGCAGAGCGUCCGGCUCAUAACCGGUUGGUCGUAGGUUCGAAUCCUACUGGGCCCA